AAUCUUAUAUUUUAUAAUAAAAAAAAUAUUAAAUUGCAAAUUUAAAGAAGAAAACUCUAAGAUUU
RNAcentral lists this transfer RNA (65 nucleotides) under Ixodes confusus. RNAcentral describes it as "tRNA-Cys". Lineage: Eukaryota; Metazoa; Arthropoda; Arachnida; Ixodida; Ixodidae. The record is from RNAcentral.